UACAGAGGGUGCGAGCGUUAAUCGGAAUUACUGGGCGUAAAGCGUGCGCAGGCGGUUCGUUAAGUCAGAUGUGAAAGCCCCGGGCUCAACCUGGGAACUGCAUUUGAAACUGGCGGGCUUGAGUGUGGCAGAGGGGGGUGGAAUUCCGCGUGUAGCAGUGAAAUGCGUAGAGAUGCGGAGGAACACCGAUGGCGAAGGCAGCCCCCUGGGCCAACACUGACGCUCAGGCACGAAAGCGUGGGGAGCAAACAGG
This 253-nucleotide ribosomal RNA is filed under the name uncultured bacterium. Its description in RNAcentral is "partial 16S ribosomal RNA". It matches the Rfam family "Bacterial small subunit ribosomal RNA", at positions 524 to 776 of the family's 1533-position model. The record is from RNAcentral.